GCAAGUCGAACGAGACCUUCGGGUCUAGUGGCGCACGGGUGCGUAACGCGUGGGAAUCUGCCCUUAGGUACGGAAUAACUCAGAGAAAUUUGUGCUAAUACCGUAUGAUGUCGAAAGACCAAAGAUUUAUCGCCUAAGGAUGAGCCCGCGUAAGAUUAGCUUGUUGGUGAGGUAAAAGCUCACCAAGGCGACGAUCUUUAGCUGGUCUGAGAGGAUGAUCAGCCACACUGGGACUGAGACACGGCCCAGACUCCUACGGGAGGCAGCAGUGGGGAAUAUUGGACAAUGGGCGAAAGCCUGAUCCAGCAAUGCCGCGUGAGUGAUGAAGGCCUUAGGGUUGUAAAGCUCUUUUACCAGGGAUGAUAAUGACAGUACCUGGAGAAUAAGCUCCGGCUAACUCCGUGCCAGCAGCCGCGGUAAUACGGAGGGAGCUAGCGUUGUUCGGAAUUACUGGGCGUAAAGAGUACGUAGGCGGUGAUUCAAGUCAGAGGUGAAAGCCUGGAGCUCAACUCCAGAACUGCCUUUGAAACUAGAUCGCUAGAAUUGUGGAGAGGUUAGUGGAAUUCCGAGUGUAGAGGUGAAAUUCGUAGAUAUUCGGAAGAACACCAGUGGCGAAGGCGACUAACUGGACACAUAUUGACGCUGAGGUACGAAAGCGUGGGGAGCAAACAGGAUUAGAUACCCUGGUAGUCCACGCCGUAAACGAUGAUAACUAGCUGUUCGGGGUCUACGAUCCUGAGUGGCGCAGCUAACGCAUUAAGUUAUCCGCCUGGGGAGUACGGUCGCAAGAUUAAAACUCAAAGGAAUUGACGGGGGCCUGCACAAGCGGUGGAGCAUGU
RNAcentral lists this ribosomal RNA (839 nucleotides) under uncultured Sphingomonadaceae bacterium. RNAcentral's name for it is "bacterial SSU rRNA". It matches the Rfam family "Bacterial small subunit ribosomal RNA", at positions 57 to 942 of the family's 1533-position model. The record is from RNAcentral. Lineage: Bacteria; Pseudomonadati; Pseudomonadota; Alphaproteobacteria; Sphingomonadales; Sphingomonadaceae.